ACAUGCUAUUCUCUUCGCGGUAAAAUAACACCAUCGUUUUGUAGAUAAAAAUGUUAAUUUGGGGGGCACCUGGGUGACUCAAUCGGUUGAGCGUCUGACUCUCGAUUUUGGCUCAGGUCAUGGUCUCACGGUUUGUGGGAUCGAGCCCCACAUCAGGCUCUGCGCUGACAGUGCAGAGCCUGCUUGGGAUUCUCUCUCUCUCUCUCUCUCUCUCUCUCUCUCUCUCUCUCUCUGCCCCUCCCCAGCUUGCUCACGCUUGCUUGAGCUCUUUCUCUUUCUCUCUCAAAAUAAAUAAGUAAACUUUUAAAAAAUGUUUAUUUUGAGAUCAGCUUGUUUUCCCAAAGGCUGCUUACUCCUAAGUGAGAUGAUCAAGUUCUACAGUACAUAGCAAAGUGGCAUCCUUGGGUCGGAUCUUAACCAAUGCAGAACAGGCUCCAGAACUGCAUGCUGCCAUUUUGGUCUUAUUCAGGAGGCUCUGUGACAAUGCAGUACCAGUUUAUGUGUGUAUCCACAGAUCACAUCCUAUAACCUAUUAUCUGCACUGUUCUAAUGUUCUCUGCUCAGAGGAAAAAUUACAGAUCUAUUAAUCUACUGCUAUCAAUAAACUCCUCUGAAACUUUAUGGCUUAAAAUGAUAAACAUUACCUCACAGUUUCUGUGGAUCAGGAGUUUGAGAACAUUUUAGCUGGGUGGUUCUGAUUCAGUAUCUCCCAUGAGAUUGUGGUCAGCCUAUCAGCCGGGGCUUGACUGGCCCUGAGCGAUCCACAGGGCCACAAUGGCCCACUCAUAUCGCUAUUGGCAGGAAGCUUCAGUUCCUCACCACACUGGCUUCUCCAUUGAGCCACGUGAAUGUCUUCGAAACUGGGCAGUUAACUUUCCCCAGAGAGAGUGACCCAAGAGAGAAGAAGGAGGAAGCCAUGAAUGCCUUUUAUGAUUUAGCCUCAGAAGUCACACUCCAUUUCCAAGAUUUUCUCUAUAUGCCUCACACAUAUGCCUGACACAUCCAUACGGACAGGGGACACUCACUUUGCUUUCUGGCAACAGCAAAUGGACUCUUCAAAAUCAUUUCGACCAAUGGGGGCUUUCAUUUGGCUUCUUUACCUUUGUCACAUCAGCCUAGGUUAUAAACCUAAACGCCAACCAACAAGGAUGGCCAAGAGCUCAGAGGAGUGCCGUG
Molecule: long non-coding RNA, 1176 nt
Organism: Neofelis nebulosa (Clouded leopard)
Lineage: Eukaryota; Metazoa; Chordata; Mammalia; Carnivora; Felidae
Exons: 2
Source: RefSeq, a predicted model, not a curated record